Molecule: ribosomal RNA, 508 nt
Filed under: uncultured bacterium
Lineage: Bacteria
Description: bacterial SSU rRNA
Rfam family: Bacterial small subunit ribosomal RNA
Source: RNAcentral
GAAGAAACGGAAGCUUAAGCUUGAAAAAGCAGAACGGCUUGGAAAGAACGAAGCAGGUAAAUCUUAAGAAGUCUAACAUCUAAAAAUCUAGUGUCUAAUAUCUAGACUAGUGGCGGACGGGUGAGUAACGCGUGAGCAACCUGCCUAACAGAGGGGGAUAACGUAUGGAAACGUACGCUAAUACCGCAUAACAUAUGUUUGUCGCAUGGCAGACAUAUCAAAGGAGCAAUCCGCUGAUAGAUGGGCUCGCGUCCGAUUAGAUAGUUGGUGGGGUAAAGGCCUACCAAGUCAGCGAUCGGUAGCCGGACUGAGAGGUUGAACGGCCACAUUGGGACUGAGACACGGCCCAGACUCCUACGGGAGGCAGCAGUGGGGGAUAUUGCACAAUGGGCGAAAGCCUGAUGCAGCAACGCCGCGUGAGGGAAGACGGUUUUCGGAUUGUAAACCUCUGUCUUUGGUGAAGAAAGAAAUGACGGUAGCCGAGGAGGAAGCCACGGCUAACUACGUG